Molecule: transfer RNA, 74 nt
Filed under: Lysmata vittata
Lineage: Eukaryota; Metazoa; Arthropoda; Malacostraca; Decapoda; Hippolytidae
Description: tRNA-Asp
Source: RNAcentral
UUAGAAUUAGUUAAUAAAAUAUAACAUUAGCUUGUCAAGCUUAAAUUACUUUAAUCUGCUUUAAGUAUUCUAAU